RNAcentral lists this ribosomal RNA (314 nucleotides) under uncultured bacterium. RNAcentral describes it as "partial 16S ribosomal RNA". It matches the Rfam family "Bacterial small subunit ribosomal RNA", at positions 495 to 807 of the family's 1533-position model. The record is from RNAcentral.
GUAUAAGAGACAGCAGUCGCCGCGGGAAUACAGAGGGUGCGAGCGUUAAUCGGAUUUACUGGGCGUAAAGCGUGCGUAGGCGGCUUUUUAAGUCGGAUGUGAAAUCCCUGAGCUUAACUUAGGAAUUGCAUUCGAUACUGGGAAGCUAGAGUAUGGGAGAGGAUGGUAGAAUUCCAGGUGUAGCGGUGAAAUGCGUAGAGAUCUGGAGGAAUACCGAUGGCGAAGGCAGCCAUCUGGCCUAAUACUGACGCUGAGGUACGAAAGCAUGGGGAGCAAACAGGAUUAGAUACCCCUGUAGUCCCUGUCUCUUAUAC